UAGGGAAUCUUCCACAAUGGGCGCAAGCCUGAUGGAGCAACACCGCGUGAGUGAAGAAGGGUUUCGGCUCGUAAAACUCUGUUGUUGGAGAAGAACGUGCGUAAGAGUAACUGUUUACGCAGUGACGGUAUCCAACCAGAAGGUCACGGCUAACUACGUGCCAC
This 164-nucleotide ribosomal RNA is filed under the name uncultured bacterium. Its description in RNAcentral is "partial 16S rRNA". It matches the Rfam family "Bacterial small subunit ribosomal RNA", at positions 355 to 511 of the family's 1533-position model. The record is from RNAcentral.